GACGAACGCUGGCGGCGUGCUUAAUACAUGCAAGUCAACUGAACUUAAGGUAGCAAUAUUUAAGGGAGGUGGCGCACGGUGAGUAACACGUAGGUAAUCUGCCUUUAGGUCUGACACAACCUACCGAAAGGUAGGCUAAUAUCAGAUGAUGCAGCGGCUCGACAUCGAGACAGUUGUUAAACCUUCGGGGGCCUAAAAGAUGAGCCUGCGUCUGAUUAGGAGUUGGCGGAGUUAAUAGCCCACCAAGCCUGCGAUCAGUAGCUGGUCUGAGAGGAUGAUCAGCCA
RNAcentral lists this ribosomal RNA (285 nucleotides) under uncultured bacterium. RNAcentral describes it as "partial 16S ribosomal RNA". It matches the Rfam family "Bacterial small subunit ribosomal RNA", at positions 28 to 310 of the family's 1533-position model. The record is from RNAcentral.